UACAGAGGUCUCAAGCGUUGUUCGGAUUCAUUGGGCGUAAAGGGUGCGUAGGCGGCGCGGUAAGUCGGGUGUGAAAUCUCGGGGCUUAACUCCGAAACUGCAUUCGAUACUGCCGUGCUUGAGGACUGGAGAGGAGACUGGAAUUUACGGUGUAGCAGUGAAAUGCGUAGAGAUGUGGAGGAAUACCGAUGGCGAAGGCAGCCCCCUGGGCCAAUACUGACGCUCAUGCACGAAAGCGUGGGGAGCAAACAGG
RNAcentral lists this ribosomal RNA (253 nucleotides) under uncultured bacterium. RNAcentral describes it as "partial 16S ribosomal RNA". It matches the Rfam family "Bacterial small subunit ribosomal RNA", at positions 524 to 776 of the family's 1533-position model. The record is from RNAcentral.